GCAUUGCUGGGGAGUCCUACACUAGGACGAAACGGCCGUCCAGUGC
This 46-nucleotide non-coding RNA is filed under the name Schistosoma bovis. RNAcentral also lists the same sequence under 2 other names. The record is from RNAcentral. Lineage: Eukaryota; Metazoa; Platyhelminthes; Trematoda; Strigeidida; Schistosomatidae.